RNAcentral lists this ribosomal RNA (1043 nucleotides) under Xylariaceae sp. 4Y-Me5-1. Its description in RNAcentral is "eukaryotic LSU rRNA". The stretch from base 453 to 1043 matches the Rfam family "Eukaryotic large subunit ribosomal RNA", at positions 1 to 602 of the family's 3401-position model. The record is from RNAcentral. Lineage: Eukaryota; Fungi; Ascomycota; Sordariomycetes; Xylariales; Xylariaceae.
CUGUUGCCUCGGCGAGUUGCGCUACCCUAUAGCUACCCUGUAGCUACCCGGGAACACGCUCCAAGCUUGCCAGAGGACCUACCAACUCUGUUUUAUACUGUAUCUCUGAAUCUCAUAACUAAAUACGUUAAAACUUUCAACAACGGAUCUCUUGGUUCUGGCAUCGAUGAAGAACGCAGCGAAAUGCGAUAAGUAAUGUGAAUUGCAGAAUUCAGUGAAUCAUCGAAUCUUUGAACGCACAUUGCGCCCAUUAGUAUUCUAGUGGGCAUGCCUAUUCGAGCGUCAUUUCAACCCUUAAGCCUUAGUUGCUUAGCGUUGGGAAUCUACGACUUAUAGCGUAGUUCCCUAAAAGUAGUGGCGGAGUUAUAGCACACUCUAAGCGUAGUAAUUCUCUCUCGCUUCUUGUAGUGGUUGUAGCUGCUAGCCGUAAAACCCCCCAUACUUAUAGUGGUUGCCCUCGGAUUAGGUAGGAAUACCCGCUGAACUUAAGCAUAUCAAUAAGCGGAGGAAAAGAAACCAACAGGGAUUGCCCUAGUAACGGCGAGUGAAGCGGCAACAGCUCAAAUUUGAAAUCUGGCCUUCGGGUCCGAAUUGUAAUUUGUAGAGGAUGCUUUGGGUGCGGUACCUUCCGAGUUCCCUGGAACGGGACGCCGGAGAGGGUGAGAGCCCCGUACGGUUGGAUACCAAGCCUAUGUAUAGCUCCUUCGACGAGUCGAGUAGUUUGGGAAUGCUGCUCUAAAUGGGAGGUAAAUUUCUUCUAAAGCUAAAUACCGGCCAGAGACCGAUAGCGCACAAGUAGAGUGAUCGAAAGAUGAAAAGCACUUUGAAAAGAGGGUUAAAUAGCACGUGAAAUUGUUGAAAGGGAAGCGUUUGCGACCAGACCUUUUCCAGGCGGAUCAUCCGGUGUUCUCACCGGUGCACUUCGCCUGGUUUAGGCCAGCAUCGGUUUUCUUAGGGGGACAAAGGUUUAGGGCACGUAGCUCCUUCGGGAGUGUUAUAGCCCUCUACGUAAUACCCUUCGGGGGACCGAGGACCGCGCAUGC